GCGCGAUUAGCUCAGCGGGAGAGCACUUCCCUGACACGGAAGGGGUCACUGGUUCAAUCCCAGUAU
This 66-nucleotide transfer RNA is filed under the name Streptomyces sp. Root1319. RNAcentral describes it as "tRNA-Val". It matches the Rfam family "tRNA". Rfam says of the family: Transfer RNA (tRNA) molecules are approximately 80 nucleotides in length. Their secondary structure includes four short double-helical elements and three loops (D, anti-codon, and T loops). Lineage: Bacteria; Bacillati; Actinomycetota; Actinomycetes; Kitasatosporales; Streptomycetaceae. The record is from RNAcentral.